AUUGAACGCUAGCGGCAGGCCUAACACAUGCAAGUCGAACGAGGGGCGGACGUGUGAUUAAUGUCUGGGAAACUGCGCGAUGGAGGGGGAUAACUACUGGAAACUGUAGCCAAUACCGCAUACCCUCGGAUGUGCCCAGAUGGGAUGAGCUCGUGGGAGGGGUAACGGCUCACCUAGGCGACGAGCCCUAGCUGGUCUGAGAGGAUGACCAGCCACACUGGAACUGAGACACGGUCCAGACUCCUACGGGAGGCAGCAGUGGGGAAUAUUGCACAAUGGGCGCAAGCCGGAUGCAGCCAUGCCGCGUGUCUGAAGAAGGCCUUCGGGUUGUAAAGUACUUUCAGCGAGGAGGCGUUACUCGCAGAAGAAGCACCGGCUAACUACGUGCCAGCAGCCGCGGUAAUAC
This 406-nucleotide ribosomal RNA is filed under the name uncultured bacterium. RNAcentral's name for it is "partial 16S ribosomal RNA". It matches the Rfam family "Bacterial small subunit ribosomal RNA", at positions 30 to 526 of the family's 1533-position model. The record is from RNAcentral.